UCCGACAGAUUAUUUGUUUGCAGCCACUGAUCUUCUCCCUCGCUCAGCCGAGUGGUCUUCCACUCCUCCCAGCCGAGCUCUCCCUCUCCACGCAGCUCCCUCGCGGUGCUCCCAUGGCGCGCUUCCUCCAACGCCGGCCGGAGUCCUCUGCUGGCCAUCCCGCUUCCCUCUGUGUAGCGCCCAGCCAUCCCUCCGUCUGUUCGCCGGUGCCAUGGACAGCUCGCAGUCGCUACGCUGCCGGGAUCCUAGUCACAAUUUCUAAGCCGCCAUCGCGCCGUGCCGGUUGUCCGUCUUUGAUCCUCGCUCUGACGUCAUCUUGCCCAUGCAACGCUUGCUUGGUGCUCGCCAAAACGCCUGAAUCAGGACCAUCGUCGUUCUCGCGAUCAUCGAGUUGGCUUAGGUCGGUAAGCUGAUCUAUGAUUCCUGUUAGCUAAAUUGUUAGAUGGAUGAAACGAAUGAUGUGUUUAGUAGGAUCCGUUGGUGUCGCUUGUGCUUAACUGAUUUUUGUUUGUGUGGUAAAAAUUAGCUCUAGCGUAGGACUCUUCGGAUGUUCGGUAAAAUAAGUGAACUGCAGAUCGUCGUCGAUAUCGUGAAUUUGAGUUCGGUUUUGUGUGGUUAGCCAAUUCACUGUUAUUGGUCCUAUGCCCAGAGUGGUUAUAUAUACAAGUCGAUAAUGAUCUUGUCUGUAGCAUGCGUGUUGUGGUGUAUUAAAUGUUUGUGAAGUGCUUGUGAUCACGGUCGUAGAUUAGUCGUCAUGUGAAGGUUAGGUUUAGAUGUUUAUUAUGCGAUGAAUAUGUGGAUAAACCUAAGUGAAGUAGGAUUGAAUCGUUUCUAUAUUUGCGACAUGGUGUAUUAGUAAGACGAAGGAUAGGUUUCGUGUUUCGAAUGUUUUACUGGUAGGCGUGGUCAGUAUUGCCUGUGAUGAAUGAUGUUUGUUUAAAGAAGUCGAUGAGUCAUAUUCUAUGUUGGGUGAUCGGUUAAAUCACAUACAGGAAUAUUGAUCGUUUAAAUUAAUAAUCUUGAAUAACUAUUUACCGUGGUCCAAAUCAGUUGGAGGUAAGCAGCAUCGAUUGGUCCGCUUUAGUUAAAAUCCAAAAGCUACUUAGUGGUCAUCAUCCAUUAGUGUUUUAGGUCUUUAGAUUUUAAAUUGUGGACUCGUGAAAACUCUAUGUGGUUUGAUAAGGCUCUACUUGUUAGAAUAAGUGGCGUGAUGCUUGAUUUAGUUGAUGUGCUAUACAUGAUAAUCUAGAUUAGUAGUUCUAAAAGAUAAUUAAAGUAUUUCUAUUCGUUACCUUAAACUACAGGUAUCCGUGGUUGAUGUGUCUAAGUAUUGUUUGCCUUCAGUGUUAUGCUUUAGCUAAGUAAAGCAUAGAUCUUGUGAUAAAUUAUUGUUUCGUGAUGUUGAGUUAGAUCCGGAUAAGCUAGAGAAGCGAGAUUGUGGUGUUUAGUCAUUUAUCAACGUCUAGAGUUUACUCAUGGGUGUUGUAAUGCCUCGCCGCUAGAUGUUUAAAUCCGCUAUCGCGUAACACUAUUUAGGUUUGUAAUAUUUCCGUCGAUAUGCAUUCAUGUGCAUAAUGCAUUCCAUUCAGGUACGUUAAUUAAUCGCGCGAUGCGGAAAACGACCCAAGUCGACUCCAAGCACGGGCUACUCCGCAUGGUGAAGCUGAAGGACGAACACAAGGAUGGAUGACCUGACAAGUGCCAAGACAAAGAAUGGUCAUCAAGUGGACAUCGUCUAACAAACACUAACCUAGUGUUUCUUCCAGGCAAGCCCCGGUGCAUGCAACCCCUUUCCUUGUGUUUUUAAAUACUUUUCGCACACUUAAGUCUAGUGAAAUGUGCAUUAGGUUCAUAGGAAUUGCUCGAAACCCUUUGAUGCAUUGCUUUCCUUGAUAUCCAUACCUUUAUAGAUACUUCUGUGAAGUAUCAAAAUAUGAUUUACAAAAAUGCUUAGCCUUGCUUAGACCUUGUGGAUAGAGGUUGUCCUUAAUUUAACUCGAGAAAGGAUGGCGUCUACCUGCAAGAAUAUUUUCAUUUGGAGCAAUGAUGGGAUCUUACUGCAAAGUUCCCUGUGAUGCUCUUUCAUCCUAAGGAACAGACACAAUCCUAAGGAUGGAAAUACUUAAAUCGAGACUUGGGCUAGGAACAGGUGAUGCUCCGCCCGGGUCAAUUAAGGAUUGGAUGCGUAUGUAGGCCUGUUGAUCAAGGACUAUCUUAUCUAGCCACAUGCCCUGAGAAUGGGACAGGGUAAGCUUGAACCCGGCUAUUCCAUACAUGAAAAGACAAUCGCGCACUGGGCGUGGAGAGAUGGCGAGAGUGGCACGUACCCUCCUGGCAACGGAUCGCCUAAAAGGGGUGGUGUACUCUCGGGUGGCGCGGACCUGUUCAUGCAGUGGAGGAUCCGUGGGAAUAGUAGACAUCAAGGUUUACAAGAAACAUAUGUCGUGUGGUUAGAAAUCCUCAGCUGAGUAAAUCGAUUCGGAUCGCCGUUAUAUCCCCGGAGAGUGGAGACUUGAGCUCCGACCUACAACCUAAGUCAAGAUGUGAACACUAUGGAUAAAAAUGAUGUUGUAUUGAUGAGAUGAUGAAAUUAGACUAGAUGCAAAUAGAGUCUAUUAAAUAUUUAAUCUGGCGUUAAAAUAUUGAAAGUAAGGGCUCACUUUAGUAAGCUAUUUCUGCAAAAGUAUCUAAGUUGAUUCUAGCUAAAGCCUCUCCUUGAUUCCCAAAUCCAGCAUAUCCUUGAGAGUCUUUUCUUUAGUCGGGUAAGUCUUGCUGAGUAAUUCCAUACUCAGGGUUUUAUUCCCUGUUGUUUUUCAGGUUAUAGUUUUUGUGCUGCUGUUGAUGGUGUUAAGUGCCGGUGGGCUCGGCCUUCUUAUAUAAGUAUACCCCGCCUUUAUCUUCUUAUUGAGGAUGGUCACUUGAGCUAGCAUAUAUUUCAAAACUAUAAAUAAUUUAUAACCGUUCAAAGUUUCUUUCUUUGAAUCAAUGUAGUAAUCACUCUGAUCAUGUACGAAGUAAAAAUUUUGUAACUUGUAAAAUUUGGUAAUAAGAUUUCCGCUGCAAAAUAUUGGUGUGUGUGAUUUGUAUUACUUAAUCCCGCGGUUCUGGUUGUAAGUGGUUUAUCCGAUGUCCUUGGGGCAAUCGGACGGAUCCUGUUAAGUUAUUUAGUGCACAUGCAUAGCCGUCUGAGGUCUUUGAGACAAGGACAGGUGCAUGUGGGCCCAAUAACUUGGGAAGUUCUGCCACAACUCAAUAGGAUUAUUCGCCAUGCAGAUCGCACUCUCAUUGUCACAUAGGAGAGGGACUUUGCUUAACUUGUAGCCAUAGUCCGUAAGGGUUUGCCUCAUCUAGAGUAAUUGUGCACAGCAAUGUCCUACAGCAAUAUACUCGGCUUCGGCGGUGGAUAGAGCUACUGAAUUUUGUUUCUUUGAAGCCCAAGGCACCAAGGAUCUUCCCAAAACUGACAAAUCACUGAUGUGCUCUUUCUAUCAAUUUUACAUCCGACAUAAUCAGUAUCAGAAUACUCGAUUAGAUCAAAGGUAGAUCCCUUCGGGUACCAUAGCCCAAACUUAGGAGUGUAAACUAAAUAUCUCAUGAUUCUUUUCACGGCCUUUAGGUGGAUUUCCUUAGGGUUGGCCUGGAACCUUGCACACAUGCAUAUUGAAAGCAUAAUAUCCGAUCGUGAAUCACAUAAAUAGAGUAGAGAUCCUAUCAUCGACCUGUAUACCUUUUGAUCUACAGGCUUACCUCCUGUGUCAAGGUUGAGAUGUCCAUUUGUUCCCAUGGGAGUCUUGAUGGGUUUGGCAUUCUUCAUUCCAAACUUUUUGAGAAUAUCUUGAAUGUACUUUGUUUGGCAAAUGAAGGUGCCUUCUUGGAGUUGCUUGAUUUGGAAUCCAAGGAAAUACAUCAACUCCCCCAUCAUGGACAUCUUGAAUUUCUGUAUCAUAAUUCUACUAAACUCUUCACAAGAUGACUUGUUAGUAGACCCAAAGAUAAUAUCAUGAACAUAAAUUUGGCAUAUAAACAAGUCUUUGUCAAUUGUUUUAGUGAAGAGAGUAGGGUCAGCUUUUCCGACUUUAAAACCAUUAGUGAUAAGAAAGUCUCUUAGGCAUUCAUACCAUGCUCUUGGGGCUUGUUUGAGACCAUAAAGCGCCUUUGGGAGCUUAUAAACAUGUGAAGGGUACGCACUGUCUUCAAAGCCAGGAGGUUGCUCAACAUACACCUUUUCCUUGAUAGGGCCAUUGAGGAAGGGACUUUUCACAUCCAUUUGAUAUAACUUAAAGCCAUGGUAAGUAGCAUAGGCAAGUAAUAUUUGAAUUGACUCAAACCUAGCUACGGGUGCAUAUGUUUCAUCAAAAUCCAAACCUUCGACUUGUGAAUAUCCUUUUGCAACAAGUCGAGCUUUGUUCCUAGUCACCACUCCAUGCUUAUCUUGUUUGUUGCGGGAUAACCAUUUGGUACCUACAACAUUUUGGUUAGGACAUGUAACUAAAUGCCAUACCUCAUUCCUCGUGAAGUUGUUGAGCUACUCUUGUAUUGCCACCACCCAGUCUGGAUCUCUUAGUGCAUCAUCUAUCCUGUAUGGCUCAAUAGAAGACACAAAAGAGUAAUGUUCACAAAAAUGAGCAACUCGAGAUCGAGUAGUUACCCCUUUUUGAAUGUCACCAAGUAUGGAGUUGACGGGGUGAUCUCUUUGAAUUGCUUGGUGGACUCUUGGGUGAGGUGGUCUUUGAUCUUGAAUUUCUUGUUCAUCCUCCUUUCUUGAUCAACUUCAUCUCCCCCUUGAUCGAUGCCUUCUUCUUGAGGUGGUUCACUGUCUUGAUCUUGAUCCUCUUCUUCUUGAGCCAUUUCCUCAUCUUGAGUUGGUGGAGAUGCUUGUAUGGAAGAUGAUAGUUGAUCUUGUGCUUGUGAAGGCUCUUCAGGCUCUUGUGGGCACACAUCUCCAAUGGACAUGUUCCUUAGCGUGAUGCACAGAGCCUCUUCAUCAUCUAACUCAUCAAGAUCAACUUGCCCUACUUGAGGGCUGUUAGUCUCAUCAAACACAAUGUCACAAGAAACUUCAACUAAUCCAGUGGACUUGUUGAAGACUCUAUAUGCCCUUGUGAUUGAGUCAUAACUAAGUAAAAAGCCUUCUACUGCUUUAGGAGCAAAUUUUGAAUUUCUACCUCUUUUAAUAAGAAUAAAGCACUUGCUCCCAAAAACUCUAAAAUAAGAAACAUUGGGCUUUUUACCAGUGAGUAGUUCAUAUGAUGUUUCUUGAGGAUUCGUUGAAGAUAGAGUCGGUUGAUGGAGUAGCAAGCGGUGUUAAUCGCCUCUGCCCAAAACCGAUCUGAUGUCUUGUAUUCAUCAAGCAUGGUCCUUGCCAUAUCCAAAAGAGUUCUAUUCUUUCUUUCCACAACACCGUUUUGUUGAGGUGUGUAGGGAGAAGAGAACUCAUGCUUGAUGCCCUCCUCCUAAAGAAUUCCUUCAAUUUGAGAGUUCUUGAACUUUGUUCCAUUAUAGCUUCUAAUCUUCUUGAUUCUUAAUCCGAACUCAUUUUGAGCCCGUCUCAAGAAUUUAUUUAAUGUCUCUUGGGUUUGUGAUUUUUCCUGCAAAAAGAACACCCAAGUGAAGCAAGAAUAGUCAUUCACAAUUACAAGACAAUACUUACUCCCGUCGAUGCUUAUGUAGUUGAAUAGAUCCAUGUGGAGUAGUUGAAGCGGCCUCUCGGUCGUCAUGAUGUUCUUGAGUGGAUGAUGAACUCAACCUGCUUCCCUGCUUGACAUGCACUGCAAAUCCUGUCUUUCUCAAAAAGAACAUUGGUUAGUCCUAAAAUGUGUUCCACCUUUAGAAGCUUGUGAAGAUUAUUCAUCCCAACAUGAGCAAGUCGGUGAUGCUAGAGCUAGCCCAUGUUAGUCUUAGAAAUUAAGUAAGUGUUUAGUUCAUCAUUGUUAUCAUUGAAAUCAAUUAAAUAUAGUUGACCAUCUAAUACUCCCUUAAAAGCUAGUGAAUCAUCACUUCUUCUAAAGACGGUAACAUCAACAUCAGUAAAUAAACAAUUGUAGCCCAUUUUGCAUAAUUGAGAAACAGAAAGCAAGUUGUAAUCUAGAGAAUCUACAACAAAAACAUUAAAAAUGGAAUGGUCAGGAGAUAUAGCAAUUUUACCAAAUCCUUUUUCCAAACCUUGAUUUCCAUCCCCGAAUGUGAUUGCUCUUUGGGGAUCAUCAUUUUUCUCAUGAGGAGAACAUUCUUUUCUCCCCUUUAAUGUGGUUUGUGCACCCAUUGUCGAUUAUCCAACUUGUUCCGCCUGAUGCAUAAACCUACAACACAAAUUUAGGCCUUGUCCUUAGGUACCCAAACGGUCUUGGGUCCUUUCACAUUAGAAACAAGCACCUUGGGUACCUAAACACAAGUCUUUAGACUCUUGUGUUUGCCCCCAACAUAUUUGGCAACUACCUUGUCUGAUUUGUUAGCAAGAAACAAUGAUGCAUCAAAGGUUUUAAACGAAAUGCUAUGUUCAUUUGAUGCAUCAACAAUCUUUUUCUGAGGCAUCUUAACAUGAGUUGUAUGCCUAGAGCUAGAAGCCUCAUUACUGUAUAUAUAAGCAUGAUGAGCAGCAGGAUAAGAUUUCUUGCAUGAAUUCUUCUAAUUUUAUGCUCAGGACAGUUUUCAGGAUAUAAAAUGUAACCUUCUCUAUCCUGAACCAUGGGAGCCUUGCCCUUAACAAAGUUAGGAAUCUUGUUUCUAUGGGCAUUAAGUUUGAUGUUUCUUUGGCUCCCAGGUUGGACGCCAAUCCCAUCCUUAAUGCAAGGGUGUCUUUCAUUAUAAAACAUUAUACGAGAAAAUUUAAAAUUUUCACUUUCAGGCUCAAGCUCGAAAAUUUUAGAAUUCAACUUAGCUAUGUGAUCAUUUUGUAAUCAUAGCAAGGUGAUCAUUCACAGCAUCAACAUUAAUAUCUCUACAUCUAGUGCAAAUAGUAACAUGCUCAAUGGUAGAUGUAGAAACUUUGCAAGCAUUCAAUUCCUCAAUCUUAGCAACUAAACUAACAUUUUCAGUUCUAAGACAAGAAAUUGAAUCAUUUCAUGUAUUUAGCUCUUUAUUCAAGUUUUUGCAUUUUCAACUUCAAGAGCAAAAGCAUCUUUUAGCUUAACAAUUUUUUUAUUUUUCUUAACGAGCAAGUCCUCUUGGCAUUCCAAGAUUUCAUCCUUCUCGUUAAUGGUUUUUAACGAUUCAUUAUUUUUUCCUUUUUGCUCUAUGGUAAGGUUUGCAAAAAGAGAAGACAAAUCAUCAUCCUUUUCACUAGAGCUACCCUCAUCAUUGGAAAUAAUAUAUUUGGGGAUAUCUCUAGAAUGUACCUUCUUCUUUUUGCUAUCCUUGGCCAUGAGACACUUGUGGCCGACGUUGGGGAAGAGAAGACCUUUGUUGAUGGCGAUGUUGGCGGCGUCCUCGUCGGAGGAGUGGAUGGAGCCCUCGUGGGAGUCCCAUUCUCAUCCUAUGUGCGCCUCGCCACCCUUCUUCUUGUUGUAGUAUUUCUUCUUUUCCAUUUACUUCUUCCCUUUCUUGUCAUCGUCCCUGUCACUAUCACUUGUUUAUGGACAUUUAGCAAUGUAGUGACCAGACUUACCACACCGGUAGCAAAUCCUCUUGGAGCAGGGUUUGUACUCCUUCCCCUUCCUUUGCUUGAGGAUUUGCUAGAAGCUCUUAAUGAUAAGAGCCAUUUCGUCGUUGUCAAGCUUGAAGGCAUCAAUUAGGAGCAUAUUUGUUGGUGUAGUCUCUUCCCUCUUUUCUUCCUUUGCCUUGAAUGCAACGGGUUGCAUGUCACAUCCGGAUUUAAGGGACAAAGCCGGGUGCAUAUCAUAUAUGCGCCAACGAAGACAACACAUAUAAUAACAGAGUGUAUAGAGAUAAAUGUCACAAUAUCAUCAUAGUACUUGUAACACCCCUGGUGUUACUGCCACCAAAUUUGAGCAUAACAUCAUAAGCAUUGGAAUAUCAUGUGCUUGUCACACCUAGAGUGCAUUCACUAGGCAAAAAUUUCAAACAAGUUGUAUUGAUAUGACAUUUUAUGGGUGAAACCCUAGGAUACAGUACUUAACCCUAAACUGGGCUCAGAAGAAUAAACAAAGCUUAAAUAAGAGAAAACUUCAAGACUUAGUUGAAAUGAUCAUAAAAUAUCACCAUGGAUGGACUUGAGUAGCAUCCAAACCCUAUAAGUACCAAAAAUCCUAAAUAGACCCCUGGAGAACCCUAGACGAAAACCCUAGAGGGUUAUCUGUAAAAGUGUGCACAUUUUGGACCUAAGUGCAAAAAUCAAGGAAAUAAGGUAUCUUAGGUCAUAUGGUUCACAUAUUUGGAGAUUUGCAAAUGAAACCCUAAGUUUUGGGCUUAUUUGCAAAAAGCCACAUUUGUGCUCCAAUGCUUAAGUUUGAAUUUUAGUGGUAUAGGGUCAACUUUGAAGCCCUAUAUCUUCCAAAUUAUGAAGAUUUUGCCCUACGUCAACACAUCAAGUUUGAAGAGCUAUAAAAGGAGGACAACUUUGCUAUAGGGAUUAUGCCUUGGUGACAUGAAAUGUUUUGAGAUAAUUAGGCUCAAAGAUGGGCUGUCAGACUGCCCUAAGUCUAAAUUCAGGCAGACAGUGAGAUUGGAUAAACUUUGGGUUCAAUUUUAAGUAGGAUGUAGUGACAUUUUGUGGGUGCACAAUGUAGCAAAGUUAGAGCUGGUCUAUUAGGAUAUAACUUUGUUGCAGAGCAUUGGUCUAGUUGCCAUAUAAAAUUGAGAGGAAAUUCGCCCCAAAGCUGGUCUGUCAGACUGACUGAUGAAGCGUCUGAUGGUACAUUGAUCUGAACUUGAGCUCUGGUUCAGCCCCCCUCAUCGCCGGCGGCCUUUGCGCCCGGAUUCGCGCCGGCCGUCGCGAUUCGUGCCUUGGGCGAGUGGAUUUUGCUCACCGUGAAAAGAUCUCGUCGCGGAUGGGUUCGAGUUAUUGUGGCCUCGCUGUCCCCGACCCCUUGCACCGACGACGUGGCUUUACGGCCGUCACUAGAGUUGGCGUCCUUCACCACGAUCGUGCCACGCCCCAAGCCUUUAACCAUGUCGCUACUAGCCGCACCAGCUCACCGAUAACCGUCGUAGCUCCUCAACCAGUGAGUGCCACGGUAAAACGCGCUGGUGACUCACCCCUUCUUUCCGGCCACCGCGUGUCUUCACCAAAUUCACUGGCCACCGCUUAGCGCCACUAUAAAUUGACGGCACGGUCUGCUGCGUUGGGUCAUCACCAAGCCUGAGCACCCGCUCCUGCCGCCGAUUAGUCACCACAACUCUCCAAUUUCCCGUUCCCCCAAUUCUGUUUCCACUGUCGUGGUAGAGCCCUCACCGUGGUCAAUGAAUCCCAGGUCUGUUCAUGCACCCCGCUGUCUUGUUUCAACAUCCUUGGGUUCUCCUGAUGCUUCCCGACCCUGCCAAUUGGACUAGGACCCCUUAGAUCGUCAGGAAUGCGCUUGAUUGCCCGUAGUGCCCGCUGUCACCGUGGACAAAGUGUGUUAGAGCGUCGUUGGUGAAAUUAGUUGAGGGGAAACUCUUGUUAGGGUUUGAAUUCGGUCUCAGCCAUAGUAGAGCACCGGUCGUUGCGUGAAUCGGCCGGUACAAGCUCGUCGGAGUUUGGUUCCCCGCCGUUCGCCGUCGUGGACUGGGGAUUGUGAAGAGAGGAAAGCGCAAGGGUGUUUCUGCAAGUGUCAGCGAGACAGAGGAAUAGUGGGAGGGACUCUUUAAAGAAUUUCAUAACGUCAGGGCUCUCUGUGCAAAACCGACAGUGCGGGCGCGCUUUCGCCAGUGAAUGGGCCGACCCAGGCCAGUUUCAGCCCAAUCCUAUAGCAUGUUUUCCUUUUUCUUUUUCUUCUAGAUUUGAGAAUUCCCAGAAAAUUAUAGAAAAAUGCUAAAAAUACUAGACCAAUUUUGCUAGGCUUCUAAUUUCCUAUAGUAUUUAAUAAAAAUAGUUUCAUGAUUUUUAGUUCCAAUAGGGAAUUAAGGGACAUUUAAAACAAGCAAAAACCAUACUUCUGGAAUUUUACGGAAUAAUUAAUAAUUCCAAAAUUCACCAAACUUUUUAGGUAAACUUUAAAUAUUAUUUAGAAGCCUUGGGUAAAGUUAGGUAUGAUUUGGACCAUAUUUGAUACUUAGAACCCAAAACCCUAGCCCCCUGCCCUAUGAACCUCACUUUAGACUCUGAAAACCCUAGUUUCUCGGAGAUCUGUGAAGGAAAGUUAUAUUCAAUACAUUAGAUAAUAAACUUUUAUUAUCUUUGAAUUUUCAUGAGCAUUACAUGAGCAUUCAUGAUUAUAUAUGGUUAUAUCUAGAAAACGAGGAGGAAAUAGAAGUUGAAGAAGCGAGGACUUCACCACCACCACCUGAAGAACCUCAGGCAGGAAACUGCUUUUACUUUGAUAUCUGCGGGACAGAGCCUGAUUCACCUAUCACACAAGGCAAGCCCCGGUGCAUUUGCCACCUCCUUGCUGUUUUAAAAUCUUUCUCACUUACUUGAUGCAUUAGGUGAUAGGAGUUGUGUGCUAAACCAGUUGCUGCAUUUCCUUCCUUGGAUUUGAUUACUUCUCCUGAAUCCCUGAUUUACAACAAGGUUUUUCUUAUGCUUAGCUUUGCUCUAGAAAACAAAAUGUUUUGUUUUCACAAAAGAUGGUGCUUCAAAGUGGGUGGGAUGUUUUGAAAAAUAAAACUUGAUGGUGGAUCCAUCAUGGCCAUGAUGGGUUCAGCAUCGGAAAAGACGUACCUCUGCGAGGUACCAAACUUUGGGUUUCAAAUUAUAAAGCUGAGACCAGGCGGGUGACUUGCACGAGAAGAGAGUCUCGGUGUAGUGUAACACCCCGGGAUCCACAAACACCCCAGAAUGCUACUAAACUACACAUCUGACAUUCAUAUAUAAAAUUUCGGCAGCAUCUCCUUUGAAAAAUUGCAUAAACGAGGGCAAUAGUGAAUAAACAUAUAUCAUGACAAAGACAUAGUAAGCAUUAUUAAUCUGCUAGCAAAGGGAAGUUAAACAUAACGACAUGAACUGAAUUAACCAAUGCCCACGAUUAGAAAAAACAAACAUCUAUAUCGAGUUUCUAAUUAAAUCAUGGCUGCAACUGGGCAGCGUUAUUAUAAUAGUGAAGGUGGACGUGCUGCUACUUUUCUCAUUCCCAACAUGAAUCAAGUACCUGCGUUGAGUAAUGCAAGAGUGAGAUGAUACAUUGCAGCAAGCAAAUUGUUUUGACGAGAUAUUUAAACCACAAAUUGAAUUAAACAACAUUUUAAAGGAAUCACAAUUGAGAUCAGAAAUACUUGUAGAUAUAGAACUCAAUAGUCCCAAUAUAACCAAUACCAUCUCAUUUCCUCGAACAACCACAAUAGGUUGUAUAACACUCCCCUGCGUCAACAAUACCUACAGAUAUCACUUCAUUGUAUGCAUAGGAAUGCAAUGUGUAGGUCCUCUAACCUCAUACCUCUGAGAGUAUAAAACCACAUCAUCUGCUAAUAUCACUUCAAUGAAUGCAUAUGAAUGCAAUGCAUAUGUCCUCUGCCUUCAUACCUCUAAGGGUAUGAAGCCGCAUCGUACCCCUCCUCGAGCAACGUACGAUGCUAAGUUGUACCGGUACGGUCGGACCAUAGGUCACGACCAAACUUCAGAUGCAAAUGAAUCAUGCAAUGCAUAUGACAUGCUGCAUUUAUCAAUAUACUUCACUUCCUUCAGAUACAAUACAAACCUCAAAUAAUACUUCAUCUUCGUUCAGGGGUGUAAAUUAAUCUCAUUGGUGAUACUCGAACCAUAAUCAUCAUCCAUAUAUGAUAGAUCAUCAAUAUAAUACAGUCAAGUAAAACAUCAUCAUAGAGUUCAAUUAUGAAAGAAUCCAAUAAUUCUGAAUAUUAGAGUGUAGGCGAUAGAAAUAAUAGGUCAAAACGGUAGCAACCACCGCUACAGAUUCUGCAUAGAAUUAUGAGACAGAAAAACUGCUAUAAUCAAACCGCAAUAACUUUCUGAUCUGAUGUCCGAUUGAGGUGUUCUUCGUGGCCACGGAAAGAUCUACAAAUUAUCUACGACUCAUAGAUAGACUUCUUAUUUUUUUGAGGCCACUAAGACCACAGAAAACUGGCAUGAACAGAAACUGUCGAAUCUGCCAUUCUGCAGAAACUAAAUUUGAGAUCAAAAUCUAACCCCCACAUCCAAUCCAACGAAAUUGCAGCACAAUUACCAAAAGGAAAAUAAUAUCACCUUGGACUCCUUUUCUUUCUUUCUUCUUCCUCCCACCAAUUCACCAAUGGAGAAUGCAGCACACCAAAGGAGCAACCAUGGGGGCGGCUAGGGUUUAAAGGGAAGUGGGUGCAACACCUUGGGGAGGAGAGGAGCGGCUGCAAUGGGGAAGAAGGGGGGGGCGGCUGCUGCUAUGAGGGAAGGGGAGGGGUGGCUAGGGUUUUUGAGAAGAGGAGGGAGCGAUGCCCCCGAUGUCCUUGAUGCGAAACCGACGGCUCACAACCAAAUACCCCAUCCAUGCCCCGAUUUAGACAAUUGAAUACUCAAAUGAUAUCGUUUAAAUGAGAUCUUCACAUCUGCGGACUCCGAACUUCCAACGGCCCACAACCAUUUUCCCACAUCCACGCACCGAAGAUCAACUUUUGGUCAACAAUUUUUUUGGGAUAUUACACUCUACCCCCUUAAAAAGAAUUCGUCCUCGAAUUCGACCACUCCCAGCAAAACAUCCAAGGUACCCCAAAUAGCACCACCAUUCAAAACAUGGGUCCAUUAUUGGUAUUAAUCAACACAAGAACUUCUACCUCGGACUAAUUGUCUAAGGAAGCUACACAACCUGACAACAAGUAUGAAACAACAUGCAAUGAAGCUCAAAGCAAGUCAUAGAUGCAAUCAACACUACGAUUUCACAACAUCGAAUUUGGAUGCAGCCAUACAUCAGCAUCAAUGUCUUAAAACGACACUCUUUUAUGAAGGGGUAAUAUGCACUAAGCACAACCCUUACCAACUUCAACAAUUCAUUUUAAUUAAAUGGUGAAACAUCCACACCAGAUGAACAUAUAAGAAGAUCAAACACCUCACCUCACAGCACCAUAAAACAAGUAGUUCUAUUGAAUCAAAACUCCUAAUCUUCCUAAACCCUGUUCUUGUCAUCAUGAAAAGAUAAUCAUGUAAUCUAACAUUCUUUGCACCCCAAAAAGGGCAAAAGUCUACAGAACUAAUGGAGCAAUAAAGCCGACAAGAAGCCAAUAACAUUUUGCGCAGCACAGUUCAUCGAUGAAAUACCAAAAACUCCACAAAGAGCAUUGACAGCACAACAACAACACAAUACUUGCUUAACCAAUGUCGCUAUACUUCAUUCAACAACUCAAUUAAGAAAAAUAUCCAAACUAGUAAGAUUAACCUACACAUAAUAUAAGUCUUCAUCUACUGUAGUUCAGAAACUUACAUUUCAUUCUAUCAUACGAUGCACUCAAAGUACCAGACAUACGAGGUCAAUAAUAACCCCUUAAUCCUUCACACAUUUGACAAACAUCUCAAGUUGAGGUAAAAACCACAUCAUUUAGGAAUAGGUGACUAACCACACACUACCAACUCUAGGCUAGGCAAUGACUUCAUUCAAACCAAUAGAUAGGUGGUCCAACAAUGGCUCCACAAGCAUGCAUCGGGGAGAGAACCAUCUGAUCCUCAACGUAUUAAUACAUAAUCAAUGGAUCAAGAAAAACAAAGAUUUAUUCUACAACUAGCAUGACUAACAUGCAACCACUUUAAACCACCUCUAGGCUUUGUGGCUACUAAAACACACAAUAGAAGAGAGACAUGUAAGCCAUUCUGGCUAUGAAAAGACUUCCCCCAAAAUCCAUAUAAAAGACCAAUAUUCAUUUCUUUCAGAACUGGUUUCUCGACAUAAACAUUCAUUCUUUACAAAGAUAGUUGGAGCUAUCCACCAACCACUCAACAACUUAAAUUCAAAUUGAUGAUUACCUUGUACCCCAAAAACACGCAAUUCACACUCCUCUUAGAAACAUCCUCAAUCAAGCAUAUAUAACAAUAUUAUUGUAAUAAAACUCACCCAUGAAAAACAUGGUGAAAACAACAUAGGCAUACUUGUAUAUCACAAGCAUAGUAACAACUUCAAUCUCACAAAUGACCAGCGAUAUGAACUGCAUUAAUAAAACAAUAUCAAAAUUUCAGAAAUAAAUUAUAUCAAGCAUUAAGCCAUAAACAACUUACCACAUCACCGUAAAGGAAUGGGGAGGGGUGAAAUUAUUGUCAUCUGCACUUCAAAGACACUAAUAUAUAUCAAAGAUACAUGAACCCAUACCCUUCCUAUAUGUGCAAGUGUGUCAAAUUUAUCUUCAAAUUGCCAAGAAUCUAAAGCCUAAGCUUUGAUACCAACUGUAACACCCCGGGAUCCACAAACACCUCGGAAUGCUACUAAACUACACAUCUGACAUUCAUAUAUAAAAUUUCGGCAGCAUCUCCUUUGAAAAAUUGCAUAAACGAGGGGAAAUAGUGAAUAAACAUAUAUCAUGACAAAAAACAUACUAAGCGUUUUUAAUCUGCUAGCAAAGGGAAGUUAAACAUAACAACAUGAAUUGAAUUAACCAAUGCCCACGAUUAGAAAAAAACAAACAUCAUUUGACAUUGAGUUUCUAAUUAAAUCAUGGCUGCAACUGGGCAGCAUUAUUAUAAUAGUGAAGGUGGACAUGCUGCUACUUCUCUCAUUCCCAACAUGAAUCAAGUACCUGCAUUGAGUAAUGCAAGAGUGAGAUGAUACAUCGCAACAAGCAAAUUGUUUUGACAAGAUAUUUAAACCACAAAUUGAAUUAAACAACAUUUAAAGGAAUCACAAUUGAGAUCAGAAAUACUUGUAGAUAUAGAACUCAAUAGUCCCAUAUAACCAAUACCAUCUCAUUUCCUCGAAUAACCACAAUAGGUUGUAUAACACUUCCCUGCAUCAACAAUACCUGUAGAUAUCACUUCAAUGUAUGCAUAGGAAUGAAAUGUGUAAGUCCUCUAACCUCAUACCUCUGAGAGUAUAAAACCACAUCAUCUGCUAAUAUCACUUCAAUGAAUGCAUAUAAAUGCAAUGCAUAUGUCCUCUGCCUUCAUACCUCUAAGGGUAUGAAGCCGCAUCGUACCCCUCCUCGGGCAACGUACGAUGCUAAGUUGUACAGGUACGGUCGGACCAUAGGUCACGACCAAACUUCAGAUGCAAAUGAAUCAUGCAAUGCAUAUGGCAUGCUGCAUUUAUCAAUAUACUUCACUUCCUUCAGAUACAAUACAAACCUCAAAUAAUACUUCAUCUUCGUUCAGGGGUGUAAAUUAAUCUCAUGGGUCAUACUCGAACAUUAAUCAUCAUCCAUAUAUGAUAGAUCAUCAAUAUAAUACAAUCAAGUAAAACAUCAUCAUAGAGUUCAAUUAUGAAAGAAUCCAAUAAUUCUGAAUAUUAGAGUGUAGGCGAUAGAAAUAACAGGUCAAAACCGUAGCAACCACCGCUACAUUCACUUGCCUUCAUCGAAGAAGAAAAAUGUACUAGGCAUGAUCCAGAGUGUAGCCACCUGCUAGCGGAUAUAAAACUUAGUACAAAUAUUUCACAAACAUUUGCCAACAAUCAACAAAUUGCUCCUACACUUGAAACCAAGACUCGGUGGAAAGACUCCCACCCUGAACCACAUGCCAAACAGCAGCAGCGCUGUUUGUUAAUUUUGUAUCUUUAAAAUUAUAAAAGUGAUGACAUCAAACAAAUACUCUAGGAGUAUCUACACAAAAUACUCUACAACUUUGGUAUUCAAUGGAUAAUUAAAUUCUUCCAUCUAUAAGUUCUAAAACAUUUGAUAAGAUAACUAACUGAAUCUGUUUCAGUCAGCAGCAUAGUUAACUUCGAAAUUCGAUAUCUCACAAACUACUCAACCAAAAAUCAUGAAAUUCUACUAGCAGUAAGAACUUGUAUCCCUCUAAAGAAGUCCCUAUAGUUGGAAGAGCCAAUUCGGCCAUUUACCUAACAAAACCUACCAGUGAACAGAUCCGAUCAUUUUUGUUAGGCAAACAGGAACAGCCACAGUAAAACAAACAUAACUGGAGUUUCAUAAUUCAUAUGAAUGCAAUCUUUAACAAUCUGGAAAGCUUAUGAAAUUAUCUACAACUUUUCUUGCAAACUCAAGGUUUAAUUCUAUUGAUAAUAUUGCCUAAAUCUGAAGAGAACAGAUUCUGCAUAGAAUUAUGAGACAGAAAAACUGCUAUAAUCAAACUGCAAUAACUUUAUGAUCUGAUGUCCGAUUGAGGUGUUCUUCGUGGCCACGGAAAGAUCCACAAAUUAUCUACGACUCAUAUAUAGACUUUUUUAUUUUUUUGAGGCCACUAAGACCACGGAAAACUGGCAUGAACAGAAACUGUCGAAUCUGCCAUUCUGCAGAAACUAAAUUCGAGAUGAAAAUCUAAUCCCCCCAUCCAAUCCAACGAAAUUGCAGCACAAUUACCAAAAGGAAAAUAAUAUCACCUUGGACUCCUUUUCUUUCUUUCUUCUUCCUCCCACCAAUCCACCAAUGGAGAAUGCAGCACACCAAAGGAGGAACCAUGGGGGCGGCUAGGGUUUAGAGGGAAGUGGGUGCAACACCUUGGGGAGGAGAGGAGCGGCUGCAAUGGGGAAGAAGGGGGAUGCUACAAAAAUGAGGGAAGGUGGGGGUGGCUGCUGCUAUGAGGGAAGGGGAGGGGCGGCUAGGGUUUUUGAGAAGAGGAGGGAGCGAUGCCCCCGAUGCCCUUGAUGUGAAACCGACGACUCACAACCAAAUCCCCCAUCCAUGCCCCGAUUUAGACAAAUGAAUACUCAAAUGAUAUCGUUUAAAUGAGAUCUUCACAUCUGCGGACUCCGAACUUCCAACGGCCCACAACCAUUUUCCCACAUCCACGCACCGAAGAUCAACUCUUGGUCAACAAUUUUUUUUGGGAUAUUACAUGUAGUGUCUCCGUCUGAGUCGAUUAAGGACCUUCUUGAUGUAGGCUUGCUGAUCAAGGACCCUUUAACUGGUCACAUGCUUCAUCAUGGGUAAGCUUUGCCUCGGGCAGACUAAUACCAGAAUAAGAUAACACGCAAUGGGAGUGGAGAGAUGGCGAGAGUAGCGUGUACCCUCCGUGGCAAGAGGCUGGAUGGUGGUGUAUCUGUGCUCUCGGUUGGCGUGAACCUGAUCUGGUCUUAAGAACCCUGGUGGCGAGCUGACAUAUGCAAGGGUUAAGUGCUACAUAUGUCAUGUGAUUGGAGAUCCUUAGCUGAGUAUAAUCGAUUCGGAUCACCGUAACUUCACGGACAUGAAGACUUGGUCACUGCCCUACACGUAGCAUUCCAGUGAAUAAGAAGGGUUGUUAAGAAAUUUGCUAGUAUAGGUCAAGUGAUUGAACUAGGGUAGAAAGAACUCUAGAUACAAGUAAAUUUACUUAACCUGACAAGUAAAACUGGAUUUUAAGGAUCCACUAUUAGUAAGCAUUUAUGCAAACAUAGUCUUUGAUUAUUGAUAAGCUAUACCUUGACUCCCAAAGGCCAGCAUAUCCUUGAGAGUCUUUUAUUUUGACGGGUAAGACUUGCAAAAGUACAUUUCGUACUCAAGGCUUUGUCCCAUGUUGUUUUAGGUGAUGAAGUAGCAAACUUUUGUUGUUUCUGUUCCAAGGUGGCACCAAAAGAAGAAAAUCAAGAUUGAAGCUGCAGGAGGAAAGGUCCUCCGUUAAGAAAAACCUUUUACUGUUUAUCGGGAGCGGUUUUCGCCUCCCAGGUUAUGUAAUAAUAAUACUCAGCACUCUUAUAUUUGCUCUGGUCUAUAAUAAAUACUACUCUUUCUUACUUUUAAAUAAAGUAAGUUAUUGUAACUACUUCCACAUUUUCGUACCUCCAAUGUAUUGUAAUGUCUGUGUGACGGGUAAAACGCUCUUGGGCAAGGUAAGGAAUUCAGAAACCGAAUUUGUCAAGUGGUCAGGCGCACCUGCAGGGUUGUCUGAGUUCCGUUGGACAAGCACAACUAUAGGUGGGCCUAAUGACUUGGGAGGUUCUGUCACAGCUGGUAUCGGAGCGAAGCCCAUCUCUGCAGAUGUUAUGAGACAUUUUCAAAAAGAAUUUUCAAAGACUUAUCUAGAAAUUUUCUUUCCUUCUUAUCUAAGUACCUUCUGAAGUACUUAUUUUAAAGAUCAGAUAGUAGAGUGCAAUGUAUAGAAGGUUGUGCAUCAACUAAGGUUGAUUCUUUAAUUAUACAUGCAUCAUACUAAAAACUAUACUAAUAAAAAUUUCCCCCUCAUGGAGAUAUGACGCCGCGCACAAGAAAAAUCGCGCGCAAGUCUACCAGGCCAAUUGGCGUACCCCGCCAUCAACUAGCCCCAAGGCAUGAGGACAGUAGUAGUGGUAGCAAUGAUCCUAUCGGAGAUCUGGAAGCUCAAGUAGAACAGCUUCGAUCAGAGCUCCGUCACAGGAACGAAGUAUGGGUCGAGGAUGGUCAGCGAAUAAACGAGUUGAGAACGGACAUCCGACACUUGCAAGACCAACUUGCUGAACGAGAUUUAGCGCUCGAUUGGGCUGUUAACUCACGUUCACUUGCUUUGUCCAAGGAAGCCAAAGCUCGAGCCCGCAUGGAGGAGCUUAGCACAGUCAUGGACAACUUACAGGUUUACUAUAAUACACUACAUGAGGAAGUUCAUGUAUUGUAUUCACAACUGCACCCUAAGUACAUGCGGAUCCUGUCGGAAUGGAAGCAGGAUCUUCUGGAGCAGCGGGUGAAGCCCUUGGUGGGGAACUGGACCUUUUUAGGCCCCCUCCUUCAAUGAAUCUGGUCGACGAAUGGUCUCCUACACCCGACAGCGAAGCUACCAAAAGUGAUAAGAAGCUAGAGUAGUGUAAUAUAGAAAUAGUGAUAAUGUGUAAUAGGUAAUGUAAUCCUGUUGUAAAUUCGAGUCUGUAUCAUUACCUUUUGAAGUAAUGUAAAAUAGAUGGUUUGCUUUGGCAUAUUAUAUUUUCCAAAUGUUCUUUGCCUCAGAUGUCGUCCAGGACCCGUGGACAGGAUGGUGCGGGAACCUCCCGUGGGUGGGAAGCUACUCCUAACCCGCCACCAGUACCCCCAACCUUGGCUGAGGUUAUCGCUGCCUUAGUCAAUGCAACAGCCGAUAACACCCGCUUUCUGCGGGAAAUGGCGGGACAACAAAUGCAACAGCAAGGCGGGCGAGCGUAUCCGCAAGGACCCCGCGAAACUUCAUAUUUGGACUUCUCAGAGACACGUCCCCCAUUAUUUGUCAAGGCUGAAGAUCCUCUUGAAGCAGAUGAGUGGAUCUGGGUUAUCGAACAAAUGUUUGGGCUUCUCCGAUGCACAGAGACUCAAAAGCCCUUAUUUGCGGCGCAACAGUUGCGGGGCCCUGCCAGCACUUGGUGGGGAAAUUAUGUGGCUAUCCAGCCUGCUGGUCAUCAAAUUACCUGGGACGAAUUCAAACUGGCUUUCCGGGAGCACUAUAUUCCUGAAGGGGUGCUCCGUAUGAAAUAGGAAGAAUUUAUGAAGCUCAAACAGGAUGGAGAUACUGUCACUCAGUAUCUCAACAAAUUCAACCACUUGUCCCAGUAUGCCAUCGAUCAGGUCAACACUGAUUUGAAGAAGAAAAAUUGUUUUAUGAGAGACCUCAAUGACCGGUUGCAGCGAAAAAUGGCCACGUGCCUCGACCUCACUUACAGCAGGGCUGUCAGCACGGCGCUGGCAGUUGAAGCCAAAUAUGCAGGCCCAGGAAAAUCAAAGGGCUAUGGAGGCGACAGGCCCAACCAGGGGCCUGAGAAGAGACAAAGGUUGGUAAUCCGACCUUUUAAUCAAAAUCGUUCUUCACCACGUCCACCCUCCUACCCCUUCAAGCAACCAGUCCUUAUCCGUCCUGCCGAUGCCCCCACCUCUACGAAUCAGCCGGGUGCCCCUGGUACUCGUUUCCCUGCCCUCCCAAGCUCUUCAACAGGCUGCUUUAAUUGUGGAAAGUUCGGACAUUUUAUCAAGGACUGUCCAUACCCAAAGCAGAACAGAUCAAAUAAUCAGCAGAGUUCAGGGAGUUCCGCUCAAGGACUAGGCGGAUUUAUUAUAUUCAAGUGGCCACGACACCGGAAGGAGAACCGGUUAUGAUGGGUACGUUUCUUGUGGCCAAUCACCCUGCAGUUAUUCUUUUUGAUUCUGGUGCUUCACAUACAUUCAUAAGCAAGAAGUUUGUGGAGCAACAUUGCAUUCCAUACAAUGAAUCAAGGGAAGGGUUUAUAAUUCAUUCGCCUUGGGGACAAAUAUUCACUAAAGAGGUGGCUUUCCAUGUGCCCACAACAUUGGCUGAACGGGACAUUCCUACCAACAUGAUUGUUCUAAUAGGCCAAGAUAUAGAUGUAAUUCCGGGCAUGAAUUGGUUAGCCCAGCAUAAAGCAAUCCUCAACACUGAUCUGAGAACCAUUAGGUUGAGUUAUGGCCAAGAAGAGGUUCUCUUAUCCAUCCCCGUAGCCAUUCCAGCUAAACCAUUUGGCAGAGUAUAUGAAGCCAUUAUAACGGAGAUCCAAGAUAUUCCGGUAGUAUGUGAAUUCCCGGACGUCUUUCCAGAAGAUCUGCCUGGAUUGCCUCCAGAAAGAGAUGUAGAAUUUGUGAUUGAGUUGAAGCCCGGUAUGGCUCCUAUUUCUAGAAGGUCGUAUCGAAUGCCUCCAAAUGAACUGGCAAAACUCAAGACCCAAUUACAAGAUCUACUAGAAAAGGGAUUCAUCCGACCAAGCUCAUCACCUUGGGGUUGUCCAGCCAUCUUUGUGAAGAAGAAGGACCAAACACUUCGGAUGUGCGUGGAUUAUAGACCCCUUAAUGAGGUCACAAUCAAGAAUAAGUACCCUCUUCCCCGGAUUGACAUCCUAUUUGAUCAACUUACCGGAGCCUGGGUAUUUUCCAAGAUUGACCUCAGGUCGGGUUAUCAUCAGAUCCGUAUCAGACCCGAAGAUAUACCCAAGACCGCAUUCACUACGUGGUAUGGAUUAUUUGAAUAUCUGGUUAUGUCUUUCGGACUAACAAAUGCUCUUGCCCACUUCACAUAUCUUAUGAAUUCGGUAUUCAUGCCCGAGUUGGAUAAAUUCAUGGUGGUAUUCAUUGAUGAUAUCUUGAUAUAUUCUAAGAAUGAAGAGGAGCAUGCUCGGCAUUUGCAGAUCGUAUUAAAGUGCUUAAGGGAGCAUCAACUAUAUGCUAAAUUCAGUAAGUGCGCGUUUUGGCUGGAGGAGAUCCAAUUUCUGGGAUAUGUAUUAUCUGCCAAGGGGAUUGCGGUGGAUCUCAGCAAAGUCAAGGAUAUUUUGGAGUGGAAACCCCCAACCACUAUACAUCAAGUCCGAAGUUUCCUUGGACUGGCUGGUUAUUACCGUCGAUUCAUUCUAGAUUUUUCAAGCUUGUGAAACCAAUCACAAGUUUAUUGAAGAAUGAUACUAAAUUUAAUUGGUCUUCAAGAUGUAAUGAAGCCUUUGAGCAGCUGAAAGUAUUAUUUACCACAUCAGGCAGUGGUCUAGGCUGUGUUCUAAUGCAAGAAGGUCCAGUGAUAGCUUAUGCUUCAAGGUAGUUACGCCGGCAUGAGGAACAUUAUCCAACUCAUGACCUGGAGUUAGCUGCUGUGGUUCAUGCCCUAAAAAUAUGGCGUCAUUAUCUGCUGGGGAAUAUAUGUCAUAUUUAUACAGGUCAUAAAAGUUUGAAGUACAUCUUUACAUAGUCAGAGUUGAAUAUGAGACAGAGGAGAUGGCUUGAGCUGAUUAAAGAUUAUGAACUGGAGAUUCACUAUCACCUAGGCAAGGCUAAUAUAGUGGCAGAUGCGUUAAGUCGCAAGGCUUUCUGUCAUUGUCUUACAAUGAAGACUUCUGACAUUAUGUUGUGCCAAGAAAUGGAGAAGUUGAACCUGGGAAUAAUUCAACAUGGAACUUCAAAUCACUUAAAGCUUGAGUCAAUCCUCCUGCAAAGAAUAAUUGAUGCCCAAAGAAAUGAUGUGGGUAUGAAACACAUUCAUGAGAAAAUAGAGGCAUGUAAAGCCAACUGCUUCAGAAGAGAUGAUCAAGGUGUUGUAUGGUUUAACCACCGCAUAGUUGUGCCUAAGAAUGAUGAGAUCCACCAGCAAAUUUUAGAUAAAGCCCAUCUUAGUCGCUAUUCUAUUCAUCCCGGAAGCACUAAGAUGUAUCAUGAUCUAAAACAUCAUUAUUGGUGGACAAAGAUGAAGGUUGAAAUCACACGCUAUGUGGCAAGAUGUGACACUUGCAGACGUGUCAAAGCCAUAUAUAUGAAGGCUACUGGUCCAUUACAAUCUUUACCUAUACCAACAUGGAAAUGGGAGGAUAUAAGCAUGGAAUUUAUUGUGGGAUUGCCCAGGACAGCAAGAGGGUAUGAUUCCAUCUGGGUCAUUGUUGAUCAACUUACAAAGAUCGCCCACUUCCUUCCAGUCCGGGUAAAGUAUACAAUGGCCACAUAUGCAGAGUUAUACAUUGGCCGUAUUCUUAGUUUGCAUGGUGUUCCAAAGACCAUAGUGUCGGAUCGUGGACCGCAAUUCGUGUCCAAAUUUUGGGAAGAACUUCACAAGGCUUUGGAUACUAAAUUGCUCCAUAGUUCGGGCUAUCAUCAUCAAACCAGUGGGCAAACUGAGAGGGUAAAUCAAAUACUUGAGGACAUGUUACAAGCUUGUGCUCUAGAAUUUCCACAGAAAUGGGAUGAAUGCUUUCCAUUGGCGAAAUUCUCAUACAAUAACAACUAUCAAGAGAGCAUCAAAAUGGCACCCUUUGAAGCGCUGUAUGGGCGACGAUGUCAUACUCCGUUAAACUGGUCUGAACCAGGUAAAAGAGGUUUCUUCAGGCUUGAUAUGGUAAAGGAAACAGAAGAAAAGGUUCAGCGAAUAAUUCAUAAUUUCAAAGAAGCCCAAGCUCGACAGAAGAGUUAUGCAGACAAGCGACGUCAACCCUUACACGUUCAAGUUGAAGAUUAUGUCUACCUGAAAGUUUCACCAAUGAAGGGUUUAUCGCGUUUCGGGGUAAAGGGGAAGCUUGCACCCCGAUACAUUGGUCCUUUUCCUAUCCUUGAAAGAUAUGGACCAGUGGCAUACUGACUCCAGUUACCCGAAACCUUGUCUGCAGUACAUAACGUGUUCCACGUGUCUCAAUUGAAGAAGUGUCUUCGGGUUCCCGAUCGAACCAUUGAAGUAACAGAUGUUACCUUAGAACCAGACUUGACAUAUUUCGAACAUCCUAUUCGAGUCUUGGAUCAAAAGGAUAGAAUUACCCGAAGGAAAACUCUCAAGUUUUACAAGAUACAGUGGAACCAACAUACAGAAGAUGAAGCUACUUGGGAAACUCAAGACUUUUUAGAUAAGAAUUUCCCAGGCUUUUUAGCUUCGUGAAAAUUGUAAAGAUAUGUACACUUGUAAUAGAGGAAUGAACUCCAUAACACCCCUACCUUGUACCACAAAUAAGGAAAUAAAAGUAUGACACGUUUCCUUUUCCAUUACUUGCCCUAAAUUUUUAAUCUCGGGACGAGAUUCUUUUAUGGGGGGAAGGAUGUAACACCCCUAGUGUUACUGCCACUAAAAUUUGAGCAUAACAUCAUAAGCAUUGGCAUAUCAUGUGUUUGUCACACCUAGAGUGCAUUCACUAGACAAACCCUAGAAGUACCAAAAAUCCUCAAUAGACCCUUGGAAAACCCUGGACUGAAACCCUAGGGGGUUAUCUGUAAAAGUGUGCACAUUUUGGACCUAAGUGCAAAAAUCAUGCAAAUAAGGUAUCUUAGGUCAUAUGGUUCACAUAUUUGGAGAUUUUCAAAUGAAACCCUAAGUUUUGGGCUUAUUUGCAAAAAGCCACAUUUGUGCUCCAAUGGCUAAGUCUGCAUUUCAGUGGUAUAGGGUCAACUUUGAAGCCCUAUAUCUUCAAAAUUAUGAAGAUUUUUCCCUAGGUCAACACAUCAAGUUUGUAUAGCUAUAAAAGGACAACAACUUUGCUAUAGGGAUUAUGCCUUGGUGCCAUGAAAUGUUUUGAGAUAAUUAGGCUCAAAGUUGGGUUGUCAAACUGCCCUAAGUCUGAAUUCAGACAGACAGUAAGAUUGGAUGAACUUUGGGCUCAAUUUUAAGUAGGAUGUAGUGACAUUUUGUGGGUGCACAAUGUAGCAAAGUUAGAGCUGGUCUAUUAGGCUAUAACUUUGCUGCAGAGCAUUGGUCUAGUUGCCAUAUAAAAUUGAGAGGAAAUUCGCCCCAAAGCUGGUUUGUCAGACUGACUGAUGAAGCGUCUGAUGGUACAGUGAUCUGAACUUGAUCUCUGGUUCAGCCCCCCUCAUCGCCGGUGGCCUUUGCGCCCGGAUUCACGCCGGCCAUCGCGAUUCGUGCCUUGGACGAGUGGAUUUCGCUCACCGUGAAAAGAUCUCGUCGUGGAUGGGUUCGAGUUACUGUGGCCUCGGUGUCCCCGACCCCUUGCACCGGCGACGUGGCUUUACGGCCGUCACCGGAGUUGGCGUCCUUCACCGCGAUUGUGCCACUCCCCAAGCAUUUAACCACAUCGAUACUAGCCGCACCAGCUCGUCGAUAACUGCCGUAGCUCCUCAACCGGUGAGUGCCACGGUAAAACGCGCCGGUGACUCACCCCUUCUUUCCGGCCGCCGCGCGUCUUCACCAAAUUCUCUGGCCACCGCUUAGCGCCACUAUAAAUUGACAGCACGGUCUGCUGCGUUGGGUCAUCACCAAGCCCGAGCACCCGUUCCUGCCGCCGAUUAGUCACCACAACUCUCCAAUUUCACGUUUCCCCCAAUUCUGUUUCCGCCGCCGCGGUAGAGCCCUCACCGUGGUCAGCGAAUCCCAGGUUUGUUCAUGCUCCUUGCUGUCUUGUUUCAACAUUCUUGGGUUCUCCUGAUGCUUCCCGACCCUGCCAAUUGGACUAGGACCCCUUAGAUCGCCGGGAACGCGCUUGAUUGCCCGUAGUACCCGCUGUCACCGUGGACAGAGUGUGUUAGAGCGCCGUUGGUGAAAUUAGUUGAGGAGAAACUCUUGUUAGGGUUUGAAUUUGGUCUCAGCCAUAGUAGAGCACCGGUCGUUGCGUUAAUCGGCUAGUACAAGCUCGCCGGAGUUCGGUUCCCUGCCGUUCGCCGUCGUGGACUGGGGAUUGUGAAGAGAGGAAAGCGCAAGGGUGUUUCUGCAUGUGUCAGCGAGACAGAGGAAUAGUGGGAGGGACUCUUUAAAGAAUUUCAUAACGUCAGGGCUCUCUGCGCAAAACCGACAGCGUGGGCACGCUUUCGCUAGUGAAUGGGCCGACCCAGGCUAGUUUCAGCCCAAUCCUGUAGCAUGUUUUCCUUUUUCUUUUUCUUCUGGACUUUGAGAAUUCCCAGAAAAUUAUAGAAAAAUGCUAAAAAUACUAGACCAAUUUUGCUAGGCUUCUAAUUUCCUAUAGUAUUUAAUAAAAAUAGUUUCAUGAUUUUUAGUUCCAAUAGGGAAUUAUGGGACAUUUAAAACAGCCAAAAACCAUACUUCUAGAAUUUUAGGGAAUAAUUAAUAAUUCCAAAAUUCACCAAACUUUUUAAGUAAACUUUAAAUAUUAUUUAGAAGACUUGGGUAAAGUUUGGUAUGAUUUGGACCAUAUUUCAUACUUAGAACCCAAAAACCCUAGCCCCCUGCCCUAUGAACUUCACUUUAGACUCCGAAACCCUAGUUUCUCGGAGAUCCGUGAAGGAAAGUUGUAUUCAAGACAUUAGAUAAUAAACUUUUAUUAUCUUUGCAUUUUCAUGAGAAUUACAUGAGCAUUCAUGAUUAUAUAUGGUUAUAUCUAGAAAACGAGGAGGAAAUAGAAGUUGAAGAAGCGAGGACUUCACCACCACCACCUGAAGAACCUCACGCAGGAAACUGCUUUUACUUUGAUAUCUGCGGGACAGAGCCUGAUUCACCUAUCACUCAAGGCAAGCCCCAGUGCACUUGCCACCUCCUUGCUGUUUUAAAAUCUUUCUCACUUACUUGAUGCAUUAGGUGAUAGGAGUUGUGUGCUAAACCAGUUGCUGCAUUUCCUUCCUUGGAUUUGAUUACUUCUCUUGAAUCCCUGAUUUACAAAAAGGUUUUUCUUAUGCUUAGCUUUGCUCUAGAAAACAAAAUGUUUUGUUUUCACAAAAGAUGAUGCUUCAAAGUGGGUGGGAUGUUUUCAAAAAUAAAACUUAAUGGUGGAUCCAUCAUGGCCAUGAUGGGUUCAACAUCGGAAAAAAUGUACCUCUGCUAGGUACCAAACUUUGGGUUUGAAAUGAUAAAGCUGAGACCGGGUGGGUGACUUGCAUGAGAAGAGAGUCUCGGUGUAGUGUCUCCGUCUAAGUCGAUUAAGGACCUUCUCGAUGUAGGCUUGCUGAUCGAGGACCCUUUAACUAGUCACAUGCCUCAUCAUGGGUAAGCUUUGCCUCGGGCAGACUAAUACCAGAAUAAGAUAACACACAAUGGGAGUGGAGAGAUGGCGAGAGUAGCGUGUACCCUCCGUGGCAAGAGGCUGGACGAUGGUGUAUCUGUGCUCUCGGUUGGCGUGAACCUAAUCUGGUCUUAAGAACCCCGGUGGCGAGUUGACAUAUGCAAGGGUUAAGUGCUACAUAUGUCGUGUGAUUGGAGAUCCUCAGCUGAGUAUAAUCAAUUCGGAUCGUCGUAACUUCGCGGAUAUGAAGACUUGGUCACUGCCCUACACGUAGCAUUCCAGUGAAUAAGAAGGUUGUUAAGAAAUUGGCUUGUAUAGGUCAAGUGAUUGAACUAGGGUAGAAAGAACUCUAGAUACAGGUAACUUUACUUAACCUGACAAGUAAAACUGGAUUUUAAGGAUCCCCUAUUAGUAAGCAUUUAUGCAAACAAAGUCUUUGAUUAUUGAUAAGCGAUACCUUGACUCCCAAAGGCCAGCAUAUCCUUGAGAGUCUUUUAUUUUGAUGGGUAAGACUUGCAAAAGUACAUUUCGUACUCAAGGCUUUGUCCCUUGUUGUUUUAGGUGAUGAAGCAGCAAACUUUUGUUGUUUUUGUUCCAAGGUGGUACCAAAAGAAGAAAAUCAAGAUUGAAGCUGCGGGAGGAAAGGUCCUCCGUUAAGAAAAACUUUUUACUGUUUAUCGGGAGGGGUUUUUGCCCCCCAAGUUAUGUAAUAAUAAUACUCAGCACUCUUAUAUUUGCUCUGGUCUGUAAUAAAUACUACUCUUUCUUACUUUUAAAUAAAGUAAGUUAUUGUAACUGCUUCCGCA
RNAcentral lists this long non-coding RNA (27196 nucleotides) under Zea mays. RNAcentral describes it as "long non-coding RNA (ZMAY_LNC001006)". Lineage: Eukaryota; Viridiplantae; Streptophyta; Magnoliopsida; Poales; Poaceae. The record is from RNAcentral.